Molecule: ribosomal RNA, 434 nt
Filed under: uncultured bacterium
Lineage: Bacteria
Description: partial 16S ribosomal RNA
Rfam family: Bacterial small subunit ribosomal RNA
Source: RNAcentral
AGCGAACGCUGGCGGCAGGCCUAACACAUGCAAGUCGAACGAACCUUUCGGGGUUAGUGGCGGAUGGGUGAGUAACACGUGGGAACGUGCCUUUCGGUUCGGAAUAACUCAGGGAAACUCGUGCUAAUACCGAAUGUGCCCUUCGGGGGAAAGAUUUAUCGCCUUUGGAGCGGCCCGCGUCUGAUUAGCUAGUUGGUUGAGGUAAUGGCUCACCAAGGCGACGAUCAGUAGCUGGUCUGAGAGGAUGAUCAGCCACAUUGGGACUGAGACACGGCCCAAACUCCUACGGGAGGCAGCAGUGGGGAAUCUUGCACAAUGGGCGAAAGCCUGACGCAGCCAUGCCGCGUGAAUGAUGAAGGUCUUAGGAUUGUAAAAUUCUUUCACCGGGGACGAUAAUGACGGUACCCGGAGAAGAAGCCCCGGCUAACUUCGUG